AUUAUACAAUUGUAUCGUUUUAUAUUGUGCGCAACGCUCAUCGCGACAGCCAUGAUGUACAUGAUUAUCUUACAUACGAUGCGUGAGUACGUAUACACGUGUGUCAAUCGAGGAGUGCAGAGUGCUCUUUAUUUACAGCAUAUUUAUAUAUAAGGCAAUGAAUAUGUCUUAACAUAUGGGAUCAAUUGUUGUAUCAAAUUCAAAAAACCACCAUUUGAAAAAUUUGACCCUGGCUAAGAUAAACAUCAGUGAACAAUAUAUUAUAAGGAAAACUCUGUACAAGAUACUAGAAAUGCUAAAAGAUGAUCAAGAAGCUUUUACACAAGUUAGGCUAUUAGACAACAAUUCUUUGUAAUACAGAGAAAGACUUGGAACACUUUAUAAUGGAAUGGCUUAGAUUUGCAAACAUCCGUAAAUAAAGAAAAAAAUCUUAAAAGCAACUGUUUGGUAAAGAUCCGGAAAGAUUAAUAAUCUGUUUAAAAGGAAAGAAUAAGAGUUUGGAAAAAAAUGGUAAAAGAGUUAUAUUAAACUAAAGCAUCUGUAUCGCAUUGCCUAAAGAAGAGUUAGAAGGCACCUUAAUUUCCCUUAUCCGAAGGCUGACUUCAAAAAUCCCUUCCUAGGAUUCCUUCCUAGGAUCAAUACUUUCUCAGGUAAUUGGCAGAGAUAAUUUGCAGAAAUAAUUGGCACACGAAAUAAAUCUCAUAA
This is a long non-coding RNA of Temnothorax curvispinosus, 705 nucleotides long. RefSeq lists it as uncharacterized. NCBI's taxonomy places the organism in Eukaryota, Metazoa, Arthropoda, Insecta, Hymenoptera, Formicidae. The record is from RefSeq and is a predicted model, not a curated record. The transcript has 4 exons.